RNAcentral lists this ribosomal RNA (412 nucleotides) under uncultured bacterium. RNAcentral's name for it is "partial 16S ribosomal RNA". It matches the Rfam family "Bacterial small subunit ribosomal RNA", at positions 355 to 760 of the family's 1533-position model. The record is from RNAcentral.
UGGGGAAUAUUGCACAAUGGGCGCAAGCCUGAUGCAGCCAUGCCGCGUGUGUGAAGAAGGCCUCGGGUUGUAAAGCACUUUCAGCGAGGAGGAAGGGUAGUGUGUUAAUAGCACAUUGCAUUGACGUUACUCGCAGAAGAAGCACCGGCUAACUCCGUGCCAGCAGCCGCGGUAAUACGGAGGGUGCAAGCGUUAAUCGGAAUUACUGGGCGUAAAGCGCACGCAGGCGGUUUGUUAAGUCAGAUGUGAAAUCCCCGCGCUUAACGUGGGAACUGCAUUUGAAACUGGCAAGCUAGAGUCUUGUAGAGGGGGGUAGAAUUCCAGGUGUAGCGGUGAAAUGCGUAGAGAUCUGGAGGAAUACCGGUGGCGAAGGCGGCCCCCUGGACAAAGACUGACGCUCAGGUGCGAAAGC